CCGCAUCUACUGAUAGACCGUGAACAGUUCUCCGUUGUUCUUCUGGUUUGCACAAUGAUGCGAAAGAACACUUCCUCGCACUUUCUGCCUGCCUUGCGUGGCCGCCCAGAUUGAAUCGGGGAGUACAGCU
This is a small nucleolar RNA of Ornithorhynchus anatinus (platypus), 130 nucleotides long. RefSeq annotates it as small nucleolar RNA SNORA31. The record is from RefSeq and is a predicted model, not a curated record. NCBI's taxonomy places the organism in Eukaryota, Metazoa, Chordata, Mammalia, Monotremata, Ornithorhynchidae. The transcript has a single exon.